GAAGAACCACCUGAGCAAAAUGUUAGUUGGAUAUGAGAGAUUUCCAAAUCAAACAGUUGAUAUAGAAGGUGACUUGAGUGUGAUGAAAAACUGAGUAAUAUUUUGGCCGUCUUUCUUGAGUGAGUUAAUCUUCUCUCAAUGAUCGAAUAUCCAAAAAAAUCGCUUUGGUGGUAAGUGUCCUGGAGGCCGUGUUAAAUUUC
RNAcentral lists this long non-coding RNA (200 nucleotides) under Lathyrus oleraceus (garden pea). Its description in RNAcentral is "Pisum sativum (pea) long non-coding RNA (PSAT_LNC029465)". Lineage: Eukaryota; Viridiplantae; Streptophyta; Magnoliopsida; Fabales; Fabaceae. The record is from RNAcentral.